This is a long non-coding RNA of Uranotaenia lowii, 660 nucleotides long. RefSeq lists it as uncharacterized. The transcript is spliced from 3 exons. The record is from RefSeq and is a predicted model, not a curated record. Lineage: Eukaryota; Metazoa; Arthropoda; Insecta; Diptera; Culicidae.
CAAAAUGGUUAAAUUUCAACCGCAAAAUAUAUGAUACAAUUUGCAGCCAUCUUUGCAAGAGUUCGUGUUUGUUUUUUUUUAACAGCUUCGCAGUGAAUUCGCUGGUUUUAGUUUAUUAUAGUGACUUUAUGUAUAAGAUAAAGAUUACAAUUAACGCUUGAUCGGAAGAAUUUGUUACAAGAAGAAACCAAGAGAUUUCGCUGAAUGAUUUGCAGGAAAAAAUAGCAUAACUAACGAGAACUAUGCGAAGAAAUGAACCCGCAAUCGGAGGAAAAUUAUUUCACCUCAUCAGAACGGCACGGACAGAUUUCUCGGAGACUGGCGGUAGUGGCAAACAUCUGCUAGGAACCACUCUGCUUUGCCAUAUGAUAAAACAUUUUUUAAGAGUGAUGAUCUAAAAAUCACUUCCCUUCGCUCAUUGAGUCCGAGUCCAAUUCGAGAAGCUGCGUUAGGAAACAUGGGAGGAGCGGAUACAAGAUCAGGUGCUGUGCAGUCACCGGGGAGGAGGCAGCAGCACUUGCGAAAAUGCAACAAAAUAGUGCAUAUUCAUUGUAAACAUCCAACACGGGAGAUUUCGAUUCAUGCGACCUGAACAAGUUUUCGAUAAAUAUUUUUAGUUUUUAAUAUUAAUCCAAAUAUUUAAAUAAAAGCUCUUUUGGA